GAUGAAGAACGUAGCGAAAUGCGAUAAGUAAUGUGAAUUGCAGAAUUCAGUGAAUCAUCGAAUCUUUGAACGCACAUUGCGCCCGCCAGUAUUCUGGCGGGCAUGCCUGUUCGAGCGUCAUUUCAACCAUCAAGCCCUGCUUGCGUUGGGGUCCUGCGGCUGCCCGCAGGCCCUGAAAACCAGUGGCGGGCUCGCUAUCACACCGAGUGCAGUAGAUUACUCUUCGCUCAGGGCGUGCAGCGGGUUCCGGCCGUGAAACCCCCUACUUUUAAAGGUUGACCUCGGAUCAGGUAGGAAUACCCGCUGAACUUAAGCAUAUCAUAAGCGGAGGA
This 332-nucleotide unclassified non-coding RNA is filed under the name soil metagenome. RNAcentral's name for it is "partial contains 5.8S ribosomal RNA, internal transcribed spacer 2, and large subunit ribosomal RNA". The stretch from base 1 to 120 matches the Rfam family "5.8S ribosomal RNA", at positions 35 to 154 of the family's 154-position model. The record is from RNAcentral.